UACGUAGGGUGCAAGCGUUAAUCGGAAUUACUGGGCGUAAAGCGUGCGCAGGCGGUUUUGUAAGUCUGUCGUGAAAUCCCCCGGGCUCAACCUGGGAAUUGCGAUGGAGACUGCAAGGCUAGAAUCUGGCAGAGGGGGGUAGAAUUCCACGUGUAGCAGUGAAAUGCGUAGAGAUGUGGAGGAACACCGAUGGCGAAGGCAGCCCCUGGGUCAAGAUUGACGCUCAUGCACGAAA
This 235-nucleotide ribosomal RNA is filed under the name uncultured bacterium. RNAcentral's name for it is "partial 16S ribosomal RNA". It matches the Rfam family "Bacterial small subunit ribosomal RNA", at positions 524 to 758 of the family's 1533-position model. The record is from RNAcentral.